UGAAUACGAGACGCUAAGGCGUCGAAGUAGUGUAUGUCAUACUUCCAAGAAAAGCUUGCACUGUCAUAGAUAAAAAACGCCUGUACCAUAACCGACACAGGUGGGUAGGUAGAGUAUACUAAGGGGCGCGAGAUAACUCUCUCUAAGGAACUCGGCAAAAUGACUCCGUAACUUCGGGAGAAGGAGUGCCUUAUUCUUAAGGUUGCAAUAACAAGAUCCAAGCAACUGUUUAUCAAAAACACAGGUCUCCGCUAAGUCGUAAGACGAUGUAUGGGGGCUGACGCCUGCCCAGUGCCAGAAGGUUAAAGAAGUUGGUUAGCAUUUGCGAAGCUGAUAACUGAAGCCCUGGUGAACGGCGGCCGUAACAAUAACGGUCUUAAGGUAGCGAAAUUCCUUGUCGGGUAAGUUCCGACCCGCACGAAAGGCGUAAUGAUUUGGAUACUGUCUCGGAGAGGGGCUCGGUGAAAUAGACUUGUCUGUGAAGAUGCGGACUACCUGCACCAGGACAGAAAGACCCUAUGAAGCUUUACUGUAACUUGAAAUUGAAAUUGGACUUUAUUCGCGCAGUAUAGGUGGGAGGCGUUGAUUAUAAUCUUGCGGGAUUAUUGGAGCCAUCAGUGAGAUACCACCCUUGUAAUGUUAGAUUUCUAUCUUUGAAUCAUUAUCUGGUCAAAGAACAGUUUCAGGCGGGCAGUUUGACUGGGGCGGUCGCCUCCUAAACGGUAACGGAGGCGUACAAAGGUUUCCUCUGAACGGUUAGAAAUCGUAUCUAGAGUGUAAAGGCAUAAGGAAGCUUGACUGUGAGACCUACAAGUCGAGCAGGGACGAAAGUCGGUCUUAGUGAUCUGACGGUACUGAGUGGAAAGGCCGUCACUCAACGGAUAAAAGUUACUCUAGGAUAACAGGCUGAUCUCCCCCAAGAGUUCACAUCGACGGGGAGGUUUGGCACCUCGAUGUCGGCUCAUCGCAUCCUGGGGCGGUAGUACGUCCCAAGGGUUGGGCUGUUCGCCCAUGAAAGCGGUACGCGAGCUGGGUUCAGAACGUCGUGAGACAGUUCGGUCCAUAUCCGGUGUAGGCGUUAGAAUAUUGAGAGGAGCCUUCUUUAGUACGAGAGGACCGAGAAGGACAUACCUCUGGUGUACCAGUUAUCGUGCCAACGGUAAACGCUGGGUAGCUAUGUAUGGAGUGGAUAACCGCUGAAAGCAUCUAAGUGGGAAGCCCACCUCAAGAUAAGUAUUCUC
Molecule: ribosomal RNA, 1241 nt
Filed under: metagenome
Description: bacterial LSU rRNA
Rfam family: Bacterial large subunit ribosomal RNA
Source: RNAcentral